RNAcentral lists this ribosomal RNA (1568 nucleotides) under Myocastor coypus (nutria). Its description in RNAcentral is "16S ribosomal RNA". It matches the Rfam family "Bacterial large subunit ribosomal RNA". The record is from RNAcentral. Lineage: Eukaryota; Metazoa; Chordata; Mammalia; Rodentia; Myocastoridae.
ACUAAUACUAGCCUAAUAUUCACAUAUAACUCAAGUACUAUAUAUAUAUAUAUAUUACAAACAAAACAUUUACAUCUAAAAGUAUAGGUGAUAGAAAUUUAAAAUUUACAUAGCGCUAUAGAGAUAGUACCGUAAGGGAAAGAUGAAAGAAGAAUAAAAGUACAAACAAGCAUAGAUUACACCUAGUACCUUUUGCAUAAUGAGUUAACUAGAAUAAACUUGACAAAAAGAAUUUAAGUCAAAAUUCCCGAAACCAAACGAGCUACUUCUGAACAGCUAACAUGAGCAAACUCGUCUAUGUAGCAAAAUAGUGAGAAGAUUUAGAAGUAGAGGUGAAAAGCCUAUCGAGCUUGGUGAUAGCUGGUUAUCCAAAUAAGAAUCUCAGUUCAGCUUUAAGUUUUCCUAAAAACCAUAAAAUUUAAAUGAAAACUUAAAUGCUAAUUUAAGGAGGGACAGCUCCUUAAGUAAGGAUACAUCCUUAAACAGAGGGUAAAAACUAUAAAUACCAUAGUAGGCUUAAAAGCAGCCACCAAUUAAGAAAGCGUUCUAGCUCAACAAAACACCUAAUUUUAUCCCUAAAACAUAUCAAUAAACCCCUGUCGAGACAAUUGGAUUAAUCUAUUAUUUCAUAGAAGAAACAAUGUUAAUAUUAGUAAUUAGAAUUAUUUCUCCUUGCACAAGCCUAAACUAUUCAAACAUAAUAAAUUAACAACCAUAUAAAAGAUACACCUACAAGUAGAUUAUUACUGCAAUUGUUAUCCCAACCCAGGAGUGCAAUAAGGAAAGACUAAAACAAGUAAAAGGAACUCGGCAAACAUAAACCCCGCCUGUUUACCAAAAACAUCACCUCUAGCAUGAUAAGUAUUAGAGGCAAUGCCUGCCCAGUGACAUUUCUGUUCAACGGCCGCGGUAUCCUGACCGUGCAAAGGUAGCAUAAUCACUUGUUCCUUAAAUAGGGACUAGUAUGAACGGCUUAACGAGGGUUUAACUGUCUCUUUCUUGUAGUCAAUGAAAUUGACCUUCCCGUGAAGAGGCGGGAAUUAAACAAUAAGACGAGAAGACCCUAUGGAGCUUUAAUUCAUUAAUUCAAUUUUACAACACUAAAUCAACAAGAACUAAAACUUAAAUUAUGAAUUAAUAAUUUUGGUUGGGGUGACCUCGGAGUAAAAAGAAACCUCCGAAUGAUAUUAACCUAGACACACAAGUCAAAGAUAUAUCAUAAAUUGACCCAGAACUUAUCUGAUCAACGGACCAAGUUACCCUAGGGAUAACAGCGCAAUCCUAUUUCAGAGUCCAUAUCGACAAUAGGGUUUACGACCUCGAUGUUGGAUCAGGACUUCCAAAUGGUGCAGCCGCUAUUAAAGGUUCGUUUGUUCAACGAUUAAAGUCCUACGUGAUCUGAGUUCAGACCGGAGUAAUCCAGGUCGGUUUCUAUCUAUUAAAAAUUUCUCCUAGUACGAAAGGACAAGAGAAAUAAGGCCAAUGAAUCAAUUAUGCCUUAGUAGCUAAAAGAUGAUAUCAUAUCAACCCAGCAGCUACUAAAAACACACGACCCGAGAGAAGGGUUU